ACUUUAAUAGCUAUUAGGUGAUAGUAUUACAAUACUUACUAUCAUAAUAUUAAUUUUUAUUUAAGAAGAUAUUAGUUGUGAUGAUAGUAAAAUUGUAAAUAUGAAAAGUAUAAUAUUAACAACGAAGAUGAGUAACAGAUACUUCCUACGUAAAACUACGUUUUGUUUAUAAACAUGCCUCCGUUGAUCAGUCAUAAUUUAAUACCACUACGUUGAGUUUCAAUAAAUUCUACCUGUAAUAUAAAAUGCUUUUCAGACAUCCUGUCCUC
Maniola jurtina (meadow brown) is the source of this 269-nucleotide long non-coding RNA. RefSeq lists it as uncharacterized. The transcript is spliced from 2 exons. NCBI's taxonomy places the organism in Eukaryota, Metazoa, Arthropoda, Insecta, Lepidoptera, Nymphalidae. The record is from RefSeq and is a predicted model, not a curated record.